This 228-nucleotide ribosomal RNA is filed under the name uncultured bacterium. RNAcentral's name for it is "partial 16S ribosomal RNA". It matches the Rfam family "Bacterial small subunit ribosomal RNA", at positions 568 to 795 of the family's 1533-position model. The record is from RNAcentral.
UGCGUAGGCGGAAUGAUAAGUCAGAGGUGAAAUCUCCCGGCUCAACCGGGAAACUGCCUUUGAUACUGUCAUUCUUGAGUACAGUUGAAGUGGGCGGAAUACGUCAUGUAGCGGUGAAAUGCAUAGAUAUGACGUAGAACACCGAUAGCGAAGGCAGCUCACUAAGCUGUAACUGACGCUCAGGCACGAAAGCGUGGGGAGCAAACAGGAUUAGAUACCCUGGUAGUC